UACGUAGGGUGCGAGCGUUGUCCGGAAUCAUUGGGCGUAAAGCGCACGUAGGCGGCUUGCCAAGUCGGACGUGAAAUCCCUCAGCUCAACUGAGGACGUGCAUCCGAAACUGGCGAGCUUGAGUGCUGAAGAGGAUCGCGGAAUUCCCGGUGUAGAGGUGAAAUUCGUAGAUAUCGGGAGGAACACCAGUGGCGAAGGCGGCGAUCUGGGCAGACACUGACGCUGAGGUGCGAAAGCGUGGGGAGCAAACAGG
RNAcentral lists this ribosomal RNA (253 nucleotides) under uncultured bacterium. Its description in RNAcentral is "partial 16S ribosomal RNA". It matches the Rfam family "Bacterial small subunit ribosomal RNA", at positions 524 to 776 of the family's 1533-position model. The record is from RNAcentral.